CUCACUGGAGACUCAGAGGGGAACAUUCUCACCUGGGGGCGGAGCCCUUCAGAUUCCAAGACCCCAGGCAGGGGUGGCGCCAAAGAGACCUAUGGGAUUGUGGCCCAGGCUCACGCUCAUGAAGGUUCUAUCUUCGCCUUGUGUCUCCGGAGGGACGGGACAGUGCUGAGUGGUGGCGGGCGGGACCGCCGGCUGGUACAGUGGGGGCCCGGGUUGGUGGCCCUCCAGGAGGCUGAGGUGAGGGCUGGGCUGGGGUCAAGGGAGCGAGGGAGAAGAGCAAUAGUCAGUGGGCUCUUGACAUUCUGCUACCACUCUGCAGAUUCCCGAGCACUUUGGGGCCGUGCGAGCCAUUGCUGAAGGGCUUGGCUCUGAGCUGCUGGUGGGAACCACGAAGAAUGCAUUGCUGAGGGGAGAUCUGGCCCAGGGCUUCUCUCCUGUAAUCCAGGUUGGGAGUUAAGGGCUC
Molecule: small RNA, 463 nt
Filed under: Pan troglodytes (chimpanzee)
Lineage: Eukaryota; Metazoa; Chordata; Mammalia; Primates; Hominidae
Description: retained intron
Source: RNAcentral